Dioscorea cayenensis subsp. rotundata (Guinea yam) is the source of this 670-nucleotide long non-coding RNA. RefSeq lists it as uncharacterized. The transcript has 3 exons. The record is from RefSeq and is a predicted model, not a curated record. Lineage: Eukaryota; Viridiplantae; Streptophyta; Magnoliopsida; Dioscoreales; Dioscoreaceae.
CUCAGGUCUCUCUCCAAGCUUUCCUCUUCUCCGAAUGCCAAAGCCGAACCUGACCUAAAGUCCGAAGCUUUCCUCUUCUCUCCAAUGGCAACAACCCUCAGUCCUCCACCACAUCAGGUCUCUCUCCAAGCUUCCACCUUUCAUGCUUCUCCUUCUUUGAGCUUUUGAUCUUUUUAGUCCCGUCUCUCUGUCACGCUCUGGUUUGCUUUGAAUUCCACGGCAGAGUUGAAGAGGCCAUGGAGGAUGACAAGGGAGGAGGCAUCGGAGCUGCAAGCAUUGUGGUAAGGCUGAUCGAGAAUGGAGCCAAAGAGGUUGGUGUGGCUGCCUUUGACUUGAGGUUGGCCUCACUUCAUCUUUCGCAAUACAUUGAAACUAAGUUGCUUAUAUUAAAACACGAAGACCUUGCUUCACUUUUAUGACCCUAUGGUGAUAAUUGUUCCCCCAGUCAAAUUGGCACCAAAUUGUAUGGUUGGAGUGUUAAGAGUUGGUGGAUAAAUAUUACACAUCAAACAAGAAGGUGUAGAUGCAUUGUAAGCAUUGUUGUUUACUUUUUUUUUAGUCUACCUUUGUGAUGUAUUUUUUGCACUUUUUUCGUACUUCUCCCAGAUCAUCAUGUCUUGUUAUUGGAGUUCAACAAGUCAGAUAAAGUAUCUAUUUACUGUUGGCUGAU